Molecule: ribosomal RNA, 253 nt
Filed under: uncultured bacterium
Lineage: Bacteria
Also listed under: 2 other names
Description: partial 16S ribosomal RNA
Rfam family: Bacterial small subunit ribosomal RNA
Source: RNAcentral
GACGAAGGAUGCAAGCGUUAUCCGGAUUCAUUGGGUUUAAAGGGAGCGUAGGUGGCCUUAUAAGUCAGUGGUGAAAUCUCUGGGCUUAACCCAGAAAUUGCCAUUGAUACUGUAGGGCUUGAGUAUAGUUGCCGUUGGCGGAAUAUGACAUGUAGUGGUGAAAUACAUAGAGAUGUCAUAGAACACCGAUUGCGAAGGCAGCUGACGAAACUAUAACUGACACUGAGGCUCGAAAGUGCGGGGAUCAAACAGG